CUACGGGAGGCAGCAGUAAGGAAUAUUGGUCAAUGGACGCAAGUCUGAACCAGCCAUGCCGCGUGCAGGAUGACAGCCCUAUGGGUUGUAAACUGCUUUUGUACGGGAAAAAACCUCCGGUCGUGAACCGGAGCUGAUGGUACCGUAAGAAUAAGCAUCGGCUAACUCCGUGCCAGCAGCCGCGGUAAUACGGAGGAUGCAAGCGUUAUCCGGAUUCAUUGGGUUUAAAGGGUGCGCAGGCGGAAUGAUAAGUCAGUGGUGAAAUCCUACAGCUUAACUGUAGAACUGCCAUUGAUACUGUCGUUCUUGAGUACAGUUGGAGUGGGCGGAAUGUGUCAUGUAGCGGUGAAAUGCUUAGAUAUGACACAGAACACCAGUCGCGAAGGCAGCUCGCUAAACUGUAACUGACGCUCAUGCACGAAAGCGUGGGGAUCAAACAGGAUUAGAUACCCCGGU
Molecule: ribosomal RNA, 456 nt
Filed under: uncultured bacterium
Lineage: Bacteria
Description: bacterial SSU rRNA
Rfam family: Bacterial small subunit ribosomal RNA
Source: RNAcentral